Molecule: ribosomal RNA, 425 nt
Filed under: Bacillus amyloliquefaciens
Lineage: Bacteria; Bacillati; Bacillota; Bacilli; Caryophanales; Bacillaceae
Description: bacterial SSU rRNA
Rfam family: Bacterial small subunit ribosomal RNA
Source: RNAcentral
GGCAGCCGUAGGGAAUUUUUCGCAAUGGGGGAAAGUCUGGCGGAGCACCGCCGCGUGAGUGAUGAAGGUUUUUGGAUUGUAAAAGUCUGUUGUUAGGGAAGAACAAGUUCCGUUCAAAUAGGGCGGCACCUUGACGGUACCUAACCAGAAAGCCACGGCUAACUACGUGCCAGCAGCCGCGGUAAUACGUAGGUGGCAAGCGUUGUCCGGAAUUAUUGGGCGUAAAGGGCUCGCAGGCGGUUUCUUAAGUCGGAUGUGAAAGCCCCCGGCUCAACCUGGGAGGGUCAUUUGGAAACUGGGGAACUAGAGUGCAGAAGAGGAGAGUGGAAUUCCACGUGUAGCGGUGAAAUGCGUAGAGAUGUGGAGGAACACCAGUGGCGAAAGGCGACUCUCUGGUCUGUAACUGACGCUGAGGAGCGAAAGCG